AACGAACGCUGGCGGCAUGCCUAACACAUGCAAGUCGAACGAGACCUUCGGGUCUAGUGGCGCACGGGUGCGUAACGCGUGGGAACCUGCCCUUAGGUUCGGAAUAACUCCCCGAAAGGGGUGCUAAUACCGGCUAAUGUCUUCGGACCAAAGAUUUAUCGCCUUUGGAUGGGCCUGCGUUGGAUUAGCUAGUUGGUAGGGUAAAAGCCUACCAAGGCGACGAUCCAUAACUGGUCUGAGAGGAUGGUCAGCCACACUGGGACUGAGACACGGCCCAGACUCCUGCGGGAGGCAGCAGUGGGGAAUAUUGGACAGUGGGCGAAAGCCUGAUCCAGCAAUGCCUCGUGAGUAAUGAAGGCCUGAGGGUUGUAAAGCUCUUUUACCCGGGAUGAUAAUGACAGUACCGGGAGAAUAAGCUCCGGCUAACUCCGUG
This 433-nucleotide ribosomal RNA is filed under the name uncultured bacterium. RNAcentral's name for it is "partial 16S ribosomal RNA". It matches the Rfam family "Bacterial small subunit ribosomal RNA", at positions 29 to 507 of the family's 1533-position model. The record is from RNAcentral.